Molecule: ribosomal RNA, 443 nt
Filed under: uncultured bacterium
Lineage: Bacteria
Description: partial 16S ribosomal RNA
Rfam family: Bacterial small subunit ribosomal RNA
Source: RNAcentral
CCUACGGGAGGCAGCAGUGGGGAAUAUUGGGCAAUGGAGGAAACUCUGACCCAGCAACGCCGCGUGAAUGAUGAAGGUAUUCGGAUUGUAAAGUUCUUUUCUAAGGGAAGAAGAAAGUGACGGUACCUUAGGAAUAAGCCUCGGCUAACUACGUGCCAGCAGCCGCGGUAAUACGUAGGAGGCGAGCGUUAUCCGGAAUGACUGGGCGUAAGGGGUGCGUAGGUGGUUUGGCAAGUUAGUAGCGGAACUCCAGGGCUCAACCUUGGAACCACUCCUAACACUGUUGGACUUGAGUGCAGGAGAGGUAAGCGGAAUGCCUAGUGUAGCGGUGAAAUGCGUAGAUAUUACGAGGAACACCAGUGGCGAAGGCGGGUUGCUGGACUGUAACUGACACUGAGGCACGAAAGCGUGGGGAGCAAACAGGAUUAGAUACCCGGGUAGUC